This 484-nucleotide ribosomal RNA is filed under the name uncultured bacterium. RNAcentral describes it as "partial 16S ribosomal RNA". It matches the Rfam family "Bacterial small subunit ribosomal RNA", at positions 30 to 507 of the family's 1533-position model. The record is from RNAcentral.
AUUGAACGCUGGCGGCAGGCCUAACACAUGCAAGUCGAGCGGAUGAAGGGAGCUUGCUCCUGGAUUCAGCGGCGGACGGGUGAGUAAUGCCUAGGAAUCUGCCUGGUAGUGGGGGAUAACGUCCGGAAACGGGCGCUAAUACCGCAUACGUCCUGAGGGAGAAAGUGGGGGAUCUUCGGACCUCACGCUAUCAGAUGAGCCUAGGUCGGAUUAGCUAGUUUGUGGGGUAAAGAGCUACCAAGGCGACGAUCCGUAACUGGUCUGAGAGGAUGAUCAGUCACACGGGAACUGGGACACGGACCAUGCUCCUGCGGGAGGGAGCAGUGGGGAAUAUUGGACAAUGGGCGAAAGCCUUGUCCAGCCAUGCCGCGUGUGUGAAGAAGGUCUUCGGAUUGUAAAGCACUUUAAGUUGGGAGGAAGGGCAGUAAGUUAAUACCUUGCUGUUUUGACGUUACCAGCAGAAUAAGCACCGGCUAACUUCGUG